This 207-nucleotide long non-coding RNA is filed under the name Nicotiana benthamiana. Its description in RNAcentral is "long non-coding RNA (NBEN_LNC041275)". The record is from RNAcentral. Lineage: Eukaryota; Viridiplantae; Streptophyta; Magnoliopsida; Solanales; Solanaceae.
CGAAACAAAAAGGGGUAACUAAUAUUUCCAGGUCAUUGGACUUGAAAUAAGUUUCUUUAAAACUGUCUCGUCUAGCUGAAAAUCCUCACCACUAAAAACUCACUAGGUUAACUCUAAUUUUAACACUUUUGCAUAACUAUUUUCGUUACUUUUGUGGGAGUACCUAUGCUUUAUUAUUUGAUUUUGUCUUGCUUGUGUUUCUAAUUU